GACGAACGCUGGCGGCGUGCUUAACACAUGCAAGUCGAACGGAAAGGCCCUGCUUUUGUGGGGUGCUCGAGUGGCGAACGGGUGAGUAACACGUGAGUAACCUGCCCUUGACUUUGGGAUAACUUCAGGAAACUGGGGCUAAUACCGGACAGUAGCUCCUGCUGCAUGGUGGGGGUUGGAAAGUUUCGGCGGUUGGGGAUGGACUCGCGGCUUAUCAGCUUGUUGGUGGGGUAGUGGCUUACCAAGGCUUUGACGGGUAGCCGGCCCGAGAGGGUGACCGGCCACAUUGGGACUGAGAUACGGCCCAGACUCCUACGGGAGGCAGCAGUGGGGAAUAUUGCACAAUGGGCGGAAGCCUGAUGCAGCAAUGCCGCGUGCGGGAUGACAGCCUUCGGGUUGUAAACCGCUUUCGCCUGUGACGAAGCGUGAGUGACGGUAAUGGGUAAAGAAGCACCGGCUAACUACGUG
Molecule: ribosomal RNA, 468 nt
Filed under: uncultured bacterium
Lineage: Bacteria
Description: partial 16S ribosomal RNA
Rfam family: Bacterial small subunit ribosomal RNA
Source: RNAcentral